AAAACAUUGCUAUUAUAAUCAUGCUACACACACACACGGGGGAAGGCUCUUCUUGCAAAACACACACUUAAAAAAGCGGGGAUUUACUACGCACCACAAACAACAUAACCUGCUGUUUACUACAAGAAGAGUAAACAAACACUAGGAACCAACUCACAGCUCCUUUUCAUGCAAUUCCUCUCUCUGCUGGCAGGCCAGGGCUGCAUCUCUGAAAACAUAUUGGAAAUAAAUCACAAGAAGCUCCAUUCAGAUGAAGCAAAGCGUUGUAAAUAUGAAUUAAUCAUGUGUGAAUGGCCAGCAAAGACGGGCCGUGUGUCUUCCUCACGCAAAGCAAUGAUUUGAUGGAGCCAGCCUCUUCCUCUGAAUAAUACAUGGAUUGUUUUUGCUUGGGAGAGACACGAGGGAAUCAGAACGCCAGGAUGGUUCGAGUUGGGAGGGACAUUGCACUUUUGGGGGCGUCUCCAUCCAGGGAAUUUCGAGGGAAAGCGAAGUGUUUAUCCUGCUGGGAACCACGAGAGCGCAGCAUUGCCCUUCGCUAGGCUGCUGCUCACAGGGAGAAUGCGGGUUCCUUGUAGGUGAACGCAAAUUACACAACCCACGAGGUGGAAAGUGGAAAGUCCUGCGCUUUCUUGACGGAAUACAGGCCGUUGGCUUUUCAGAACCAGCAAUGUUUCUGGCACAUCUGUGUGUGGCGGUGAAGGAGUGAGUGACUUAGACCUGGGAGCUCUCCUGGAUUGUUUUCCCAAGCCUCAUAUGUCCAUCUUCUGCAGAACUUUUGAUUGAAUUGCAGUGAGUCACCAUCAGGGCCAGGAUGGCCAGGUCAGACAAGGAUGUCUUCAGGGAGCCAGCAGGGCUCUGCAUGUGCUGAAUGGAGUGGUCCCAAACUCCUCAGGAAUAAGUGACUGCAUCAGAGAGAAGAGAGGGAAUCGGGUUCAAAAGCAGGGCUGGGUGGAAUCUGCAUUUCUGUGACCUCCUGGGAAGUGAAGUGCCUGGUGGCCAGUGGUCCCUGCACACCAGAGCCAGCUCCACCACCUCUGUGUGCUCCAGCGUUUUCCUCUGGAUCCCAUGGCCACGCUCCUGAGACGAGUGCCUGUGCCAUUCAUCACACCGGCAGCACGAGAGCAACUGGAAAAAGUGUCUGGAAUUUAUCACCGAUGGC
Molecule: non-coding RNA, 1159 nt
Organism: Zonotrichia albicollis (white-throated sparrow)
Lineage: Eukaryota; Metazoa; Chordata; Aves; Passeriformes; Passerellidae
Source: RefSeq, a predicted model, not a curated record